AGCAAGGGCCCGUACCGUAAACCGACACAGGUGGAUGAGGAGAGGAUCCUAAGGCCGGCGGGAGAAGUGUUGUUAAGGAACUCGGCAAAAUGACUCCGUAACUUCGGGAGAAGGAGUGCUGCGCAAGCAGCCGCAGAGAAAUGGCCCAAGCAACUGUUUAGCAAAAACACAGGUCUAUGCGAAACCGAAAGGUGAGGUAUAUGGGCUGACGCCUGCCCGGUGCUGGAAGGUUAAGGGGAGAGCUUAGCGCAAGCGAAGGUUUGAACUUAAGCCCCAGUAAACGGCGGCCGUAACGAUAACGGUCCUAAGGUAGCGAAAUUCCUUGUCGGGUAAGUUCCGACCCGCACGAAAGGCGUAAUGAUUUGGGCACUGUCUCAACAACACACCCGGUGAAAUUGAAAUACCAGUGAAGAUGCUGGUUACCCGCGCCAGGACGGAAAGACCCCAUGGAGCUUUACUCCAGCCUGAUACUGGGAUUCGGUAUUGCAUGUACAGGAUAGGUGGGAGGCUAAGAACUUAUGGCGCCAGCCGUGAGGGAGCCGAUGUUGGGAUACCACCCCUGCAGUACUGGGUUUCUAACCUGCGCCCGUGACCCGGGCGGGGGACAAUGUCAGGCGGGGAGUUUGACUGGGGCGGUCGCCUCCGAAAGGGUAUCGGAGGCGCUCAAAGGUCUCCUCAGGAUGGUUGGAAACCAUCCAGAGAGUGCAAAGGCAGAAGGAGGCUUGACUGCGACACCGACGGGUGGAGCAGGUACGAAAGUAGGACUUAGUGAUCCGGUGGCAUAAAGUGGGAUUGCCAUCGCUCAACGGAUAAAAGCUACCCUGGAUAACAGGCUUAUCACUCCCAAGAGUUCACAUCGACGGAGUGGUUUGGCACCUCGAUGUCGGCUCAUCGCAUCCUGGAGCUGGAGCAGGUUCCAAGGGUUGGGCUGUUCGCCCAUUAAAGCGGUACGCGAGCUGGGUUCAGAACGUCGUGAGACAGUUCGGUCCCUAUCCGGCGCGGGCGCAGGAUAUCUGAGAGGAGCUGUCCUUAGUACGAGAGGACCGGGAUGGACCGUCCGCUGGUGGACCGGUUGUCAUGCCAAUGGCACGGCCGGGUAGCCAAGACGGGAAGGGAUAAACGCUGAAGGCAUCUAAGCGUGAAGCCCCCCUCAAAAUGAGAUAUCCAUACUCGAAAGAGUGAGAGACCCCUUAGAGACGAUGAGGUAGAUAGGGCAGAGAUGGAAGCACAGCGAUGUGUGGAGUUGACUGUUACUAAUCGGUCGAUAGCUC
RNAcentral lists this ribosomal RNA (1271 nucleotides) under metagenome. Its description in RNAcentral is "bacterial LSU rRNA". It matches the Rfam family "Bacterial large subunit ribosomal RNA", at positions 1633 to 2925 of the family's 2925-position model. The record is from RNAcentral.